AGAAAUUGCACUAAAGCACUUCCGGGUGCGGGUCCUGUGCAUGAAAACGUGACAAAGCCGCGCACAGAGGAGAAGCUGUCUCCAACCUUGGACCAUGUAUAGGCUAACGGUGCCCUGGCGUCACAAAAGGAUAAGCUUAAUAAGGAAUGGAUGUAACUCACGUGUGACUUGGAGAUACAUGAGGACGACUAGAUAGAGAACGUGAGUCCAUGAUACCCGUGGCUGUUCCAUCGUCCGACUCUGCUCUACGGUUCCGU
Long non-coding RNA from Hyla sarda, 257 nucleotides. RefSeq lists it as uncharacterized. Lineage: Eukaryota; Metazoa; Chordata; Amphibia; Anura; Hylidae. The transcript has 3 exons. The record is from RefSeq and is a predicted model, not a curated record.